UCCGAAUCGAUGUAACAUAGUAAAUUCUAACACUCAAAUUAUUGCAAUGAUUGUCUGAAAAAUAGUGAUGUGCAACAUAUUAAAUUAUAAAUUAUUCACAUUACAAUUAUAACUUCAUCCAUUUCAUGAAAGGCAUAGGGGUUUGUAAUAAAACAUGAAGCGUGAAGAAAAUCACAAGUGCAACAAUUAAAUUAUAUGCAUAAAACUAUUUUUAAAAUUGAAAACAAAAUUUGAUACGUCUAAAUUGAAGGUCGUGUUGAUAUCUUUGUAUAUAUGAAGGAAGAAGACUUUUUUUUUUUUGACAAACCUAAAACCUAUAUUAUCCAAACGUUUUAUUACUAUAAAACCUAUUGACUUUUUUUUUAACGGCAAAAUAUAUUAUUAUUAAUAACCGGUCUAACUCAACACCACUUAAUGGAUGAACCCUUCUAAACCCAUACUUAGAAGGACAAUCCUUAGCCUUCAAACCACCAAAGAAACUAUAAUUAAGUCCAACUCAAAAAGAUGCCACUAAACUCUAACUCCCGAACUCGAAUCAAAAGUGUUCGGCCCAUCAUAAUCCAAAAAGAAGCUCCUCGAGUCAAAACUGAUGGGGCAACGGUAGAGAGAAAAUCUAGGCAGAUAAGUCUCGGCUCGCAGUCCGCCUCCAACCAGUCAACAUAAAUGCGGAAGAGGUCAACCCGAUACGAAGAAACCUGCAAAUCUCAACAAAUUUGAAAGUGGUCAGAGAAUCUCGUAUCGAAUAAAGCUCAUCACACACGACAUCAACCACACACCAGUGGUGCCAAAUCCAACACUUCCACGUCAGCACCUCACCANNNNNNNNNNNNNNNNNNNNNNNNNNNNCACCACAAGAAGAAGAAGAAGAAGAAGAAGAAGAAGAAGAAGAAGAAGAAGAAGAAGAAGAAGAAGAAGAAGAAGAAGAAGAAGAAGAAGAAGAGACAAAUUAAAUAAUAUUAUUUGUUGUCUUAUUUCAUUUCAAUAAAGUCAUCUUAGAUUACAAAUCCAUAACCACAAGGAUCUUGAAAUUAAAAAUAAAAAUAAAAAGAAAAUAGAAUCAAAUUAUUUUGUGCGAAUUCAGCAAAUAAAUGACAGCUCAUGGAAUAUUCUAACAUGAUAUUUGUGUACUCUCUUAGCUUUGACAAUAAAAAAGAAUUGCAUGCACUUAUUUUUCCGGGUACAAUUUUGCAACACAUUUACAUAUUCUGGCGUCGAUGCACUUUGGUUUCAUACGAGGGUCAGGGCACAUAUCUUUUGGACAAUCAGAAUCAGUAAUACAUUUAAAAAAUGUUGCUGAUUGAAAAGAAAAAAAAGAAUUAUAACAAAUAUUAUAAAUAUUGUGAAAGAAGUAAAGGAGAAAAUUUAAAAAGGGUUAAAAAAAAAAUGACUUACCUUCAACAUUUGUUGCAAUAAAAAGUAGGGAAAAAAAGAUAAUCAGAAUACAAACAAACUUAAUAAAUUCAGUCAUAUUUCUCCCUUUUACAUAUAACAAAUUAUUUGAUUUAUAAUUUAUAAAUCUAAUUUCCUUGUAUCAAUUAAAUAGUGUUUAGCUCUUCUAAAGUUGUAAAAAAAAAAAAAA
RNAcentral lists this long non-coding RNA (1579 nucleotides) under Trifolium pratense (red clover). Its description in RNAcentral is "long non-coding RNA (TPRA_LNC009443)". Lineage: Eukaryota; Viridiplantae; Streptophyta; Magnoliopsida; Fabales; Fabaceae. The record is from RNAcentral.